This 69-nucleotide transfer RNA is filed under the name Ictidomys tridecemlineatus (thirteen-lined ground squirrel). Its description in RNAcentral is "Spermophilus tridecemlineatus (thirteen-lined ground squirrel) tRNA". It matches the Rfam family "tRNA". Rfam says of the family: Transfer RNA (tRNA) molecules are approximately 80 nucleotides in length. Their secondary structure includes four short double-helical elements and three loops (D, anti-codon, and T loops). Further hydrogen bonds mediate the characteristic L-shaped molecular structure. tRNAs have two regions of fundamental functional importance: the anti-codon, which is responsible for specific mRNA codon recognition, and the 3' end, to which the tRNAs corresponding amino acid is attached (by aminoacyl-tRNA synthetases). tRNAs cope with the degeneracy of the genetic code in two manners: having more than one tRNA (with a specific anti-codon) for a particular amino acid; and 'wobble' base-pairing, i.e. permitting non-standard base-pairing at the 3rd anti-codon position. Lineage: Eukaryota; Metazoa; Chordata; Mammalia; Rodentia; Sciuridae. The record is from Rfam by way of RNAcentral.
GGGGUUGUAGCUCAGUGGUAAAGCACUCGCCUGGCAUGUGUGAGGCACAGGGUUCUAUCCUCAGCACCA